This 326-nucleotide ribosomal RNA is filed under the name uncultured eukaryote. RNAcentral describes it as "partial 18S ribosomal RNA". It matches the Rfam family "Eukaryotic small subunit ribosomal RNA", at positions 1470 to 1796 of the family's 1831-position model. The record is from RNAcentral.
CCCUUAGAUGUUCUGGGCCGCGCGCGCGCUACACUGAUGCAUUCAACGAGUCCAACCUUGACCGAGAGGUCCGGGUAAUCUUUGAAACUGCAUCGUGAUGGGGCUAGAUUAUUGCAAUUAUUAAUCUUCAACGAGGAAUGCCUAGUAAGCGUGAUUCAUCAAAUCGCGUUGAUUACGUCCCUGCCCUUUGUACACACCGCCCGUCGCUCCUACCGAUUGAGUGUGUUGGUGAGGAGUUUGGAUUGGCCUCGGAAGGUGGUUCGCCACCGUCCGUAGCUGAGAAGUUCUCCAAACCGCCCCACUUAGAGGAAGGAGAAGUCGUAACA